CUUGAUUUUAUCGAUAUUUCUCCAGAUGUGCUUCUGUAUCCAGGAACGUUGCAAGACGACGACGAACUUCCCAUUAAACUCGCUUGGCAGAACGACACCAUUGCCGAAUCCUCUGCACAUCGGAUUCCGUCCACCGAAGUGUGAAGAAAUGGUAUCGGGGAUUACCUGAUAAGAAGUAACUGUGUUUGGAGAAGGUGUUGUUGGAGCAGGUGUCACAAUAAACAAGACCCAUGACAGUAAUCUGAGAAUAUAUUGUUCUUGGCGGGUGAGAAUGAGCAGCCUGAAUUUCAAACAGAAAGGAACUUGGAACCAAGGAGGCUAAGACAAAGAGUAGAAUAAGAUUCAUGGCUAUAUUACGGAAGAUAAGAGAGAAGCCGCUUUUUUCUUCUUUGAAAGAAGUGCCUAUCUAAUGUUCAAUGCAUAUCAGGAUAUGUAAUGAAGGGUGGGAAGAGUAGUAAUGUAAGUAACGAGCUUCACUGCUUCAGUAGUUGGUGGGUAAGGAUAUAACUGAAAGCGAAGUAAAAAAAGUGAAGGUCAUUUAACAUUUUCAUAAGAAACAAAGACAUGUGAUAGUCUUUUGUCAUUCUGCAUGUGAACUUGAUGUGUAGGAAAGAGAAGAAAUUAGAUUCUCUUGGCAGAAUUAUUGCUGAUACUGCUCCUUGAUUCGAGGGUCUAACCCAGCUAAACACUAUUAAUAGAGCUACCUAUUUCAAAAUAGGAGCCAACCAACACACGCGGAGUGAAUCUCGUUGCAUUGUUUUGGGAAGAUUUACAUCCAUAUCCUGUAUUCUUUUUAGGUGUCAAUUCUAAGUCUCUCUUGUAAAAAGUAAAGGCUGCUUUUACAUCUCAAUUGCUUGAAGGAGAUACAGACAGCAAUUUGCUUCAAGUCUUCAAGCUUCGAUUGGUGCCAAUUAUGGGGUUGUAGUCUUAGCCAAUGUCUAUGGAGCCAAGGAAACAUAACCAGGCAAUGAGUAUCAGAGGAUGAAGAAAUCACACCAUUGAGAUCGAAUGAAACAGUAUUUGGUUUGAACAACUAAACUUGACCCCAAGUUAUUAUUUAACAAUUGCAGCAAUCCCCAAAAUGCACAGGUCCAAAAACGUGCAUGAUGGGGGAGAAAAUAUUGAGUGGUGGAGAUUGAAAGCUGAUCGAAGUAUAGAAUCUGAGCCACUAAAAAAAGGACUAUGCAGCUCGUGAUGUAGUGUGGGUUUAAGGGAUGGCGAUCCAGAUUUUGGACCCAGUACCUUCUGCAGAAAAGUGAUGUUAAAGUGUAAAUUGGAGCAAUCUGAGCGGUUGAGAAUGCUUGUUGGUCGAGCCUCCUCCAGCAAAACAGGGCCCUAUAAUGCUUAUGCAAAUUGCCCCCAGCAGUACAAAGAAACUUUUCAAGUGUUGGAGCCUUUGAAGAUUGAAAAAUGACAGCAGGCUAUUUGGUUGCAAUAUAUGGUGAUGGCUUAUUUCAUUGCUGCCCCGGUGCGUGAUUCACCCUGUUGACUCGAUUACGGUAAAAAUGCUAUAAAUUAUUUUAAGGCAUGUUGGAAUAUAUUGUCGUACAUAUAGAGUUUGUCUCGAUGAAUAUUUCAGUACACCUCGUAGAUGGGAUAAAAUUAAACCACCAAAAUUGUGAAUAAGUGUUUCUCACACGAUUAAGGUUAUUUACUUUAUUUUUGAACCACAAUGUAAGAUGUUUGGAUACUCACUGUACGACUAUUUAUCAUUGCCAAAUUCUCGAAAUCUGGUGUUGGGAAAUGAAAAUUCAUAUCUGAGGUGGUUUGUUUUCGCA
Cucumis melo (muskmelon) is the source of this 1778-nucleotide long non-coding RNA. RefSeq lists it as uncharacterized. The transcript has 2 exons. NCBI's taxonomy places the organism in Eukaryota, Viridiplantae, Streptophyta, Magnoliopsida, Cucurbitales, Cucurbitaceae. The record is from RefSeq and is a predicted model, not a curated record.